CCGGGUCGCGGUCAUUUUGAGUCCGUAUUUGGGUGAGUUCUUGGAGGCCGAGUGACUGUCUGCUCCCCACCCCCCAACUCCGCUGCAGUGCCGCGCGGCUGCCGGUUUCCGCGCGCUUUUUUUCUUUCUUGACCCUUCUCGGGUCCCCUCGAGGCCUUGUGCCCCCGAUCGCCCCGGCUCGCCGCGCCGUCGCUCGCCGCUGUCGUCCGGAGGAAAAAUGAAUGGGAGGGCUGAUUUUCGAGAGCCGAAUGCAGAAGUUCCAAGACCAAUUCCCCACAUAGGGGCUGAUUACAUUCCAACAGAAGAAGAAAGAAGAGUCUUUGCAGAGUGCAAUGAUGAAAGCUUCUGGUUCAGAUCUGUUCCUUUGGCUGCAACAAGUAUGUUGAUUACUCAAGGAUUAAUUAGUAAAGGAAUCCUUUCAAGUCAUCCCAAAUAUGGUUCCAUCCCUAAACUUAUAUUUGCUUGUAUCAUGGGAUACUUUGCUGGAAAGCUUUCUUACGUGAAAACUUGCCAAGAGAAGUUCAGAAAUCUUGAGAAUUCCCCUCUGGGAGAAGCUUUACGCUCAGGACAGGCACGGCGAUCUUCACCAUCUGGGCACUAUUCUCAGAAGUCAAAAUAUGACUCAAAUUUGGGUGGUCAUUCAUCUUUUGUGACGUCUCCAGCCGCAGACAACAUAGAAAAAGAGAUGCUUCCUCAUUAUGAGCCAAUUCCAUUUAGUGCUUCUAUGAAUGAAUCUACUCCCACUGGUAUUACUGAUCAUAUUGCCCAAGAACUCUUGUCAAGUGAGAAAAUCCAUGUGAAAAUGCUUUGUGAAGUUUGUGUAAAUACUAGCUUUGAAGAUCGCAGAAUGACCUGAUCCCAACCCUGAAGAAAGUCCUAAGAGAAAAAAUAUUACAUAUGAGGAAUUAAGGAAUAAGAACAGAGAGUCAUAUGAAGUAACUUUAACACAUAAGACUGACCCCUCAGUCAGGCCUAUGCAGGAAAGAAUGCCCAAAAAAGAAGUCAAAGUAAACAAAUAUGGAGAUACUUGGGAUGAGUGAAAAAUUGCAUCAUUGGACCUACUGAAGGCAUUUCAAUAUCCAGCUUCAUCUAGGUGGUCAUGAAUAUCUGCAUGCUUUGAGCUCAGCAGCAGUCUUCAUAAACACAUUUAAAAUUAGAACCUGGGUUCUUGUGGUUUGGCUUAUUAAAAUGAUGUUUAAAAACAGA
Callorhinus ursinus (northern fur seal) is the source of this 1206-nucleotide non-coding RNA. NCBI's taxonomy places the organism in Eukaryota, Metazoa, Chordata, Mammalia, Carnivora, Otariidae. The record is from RefSeq and is a predicted model, not a curated record.